This 191-nucleotide ribosomal RNA is filed under the name Wakarumbia pendolensis. RNAcentral's name for it is "partial 16S ribosomal RNA". The record is from RNAcentral. Lineage: Eukaryota; Metazoa; Arthropoda; Insecta; Coleoptera; Lycidae.
GUUAUUUUGGCAGAUUAGUGUAUUUGAUUUAGAAUCAUUUUAAGUAAAGUUUUAUUACAAGUAAUAUUUGAUAUUUGUUGAUAUAAGGUUAGUCUUAUUUUGUAUAAUUAUUUUAAUAGUUUUUGUUCUUGUUGGAGUAGCUUUUUUUACAUUAUUGGAACGAAAAGUUUUAGGAUAUAUUCAAAUUCGUA